Molecule: ribosomal RNA, 468 nt
Filed under: uncultured bacterium
Lineage: Bacteria
Description: partial 16S ribosomal RNA
Rfam family: Bacterial small subunit ribosomal RNA
Source: RNAcentral
GACGAACGCUGGCGGCGUGCCUAACACAUGCAAGUCGAACGGAAAGGCCCUGCUUUUGUGGGGUGCUCGAGUGGCGAACGGGUGAGUAACACGUGAGUAACCUGCCCUUGACUUUGGGAUAACUUCAGGAAACUGGGGCUAAUACCGGAUAGGAGCUCCUGCUGCAUGGUGGGGGUUGGAAAGUUUCGGCGGUUGGGGAUGGACUCGCGGCUUAUCAGCUUGUUGGUGGGGUAGUGGCUUACCAAGGCUUUGACGGGUAGCCGGCCUGAGAGGGUGACCGGCCACAUUGGGACUGAGAUACGGCCCAGACUCCUACGGGAGGCAGCAGUGGGGAAUAUUGCACAAUGGGCGGAAGCCUGAUGCAGCAACGCCGCGUGCGGGAUGACGGCCUUCGGGUUGUAAACCGCUUCCGCCUGUGACGAAGCGUGAGUGACGGUAAUGGGUAAAGAAGCACCGGCUAACUACGUG